RNAcentral lists this ribosomal RNA (253 nucleotides) under uncultured bacterium. RNAcentral describes it as "partial 16S ribosomal RNA". It matches the Rfam family "Bacterial small subunit ribosomal RNA", at positions 524 to 776 of the family's 1533-position model. The record is from RNAcentral.
UACGUAGUGGGCAAGCGUUGUCCGGAUUUAUUGGGCGUAAAGAGCGUGUAGGCGGCCUGACAGGUCUGCUGUGAAAACUCGAGGCUCAACCUCGAGAUGUCGGCGGAAACCGUCUGGCUAGAGUCCGGAAGAGGAGAGUGGAAUUCCUGGUGUAGCGGUGAAAUGCGCAGAUAUCAGGAGGAACACCGGUGGCGAAGGCGGGUCUCUGGGCCGUAACUGACGCUGAGGAGCGAAAGCAUGGGGAGCGAACAGG